GGUAAUACGUAGAAGACUAGUGUUAUUCAUCUUUAAUAGGUUUAAAGGGUACCUAGACGGUAAAUCAAGUCCUAAAAGGAUACUAAUUUACUAGAGUUUAAUGUGAGGGGGCACUAAAGUACUGAUAAGUGUAGAGAUGAAAUUCUGUGAUACAAUAUACGGCACUGGUAAAGGCGAAAGCAUCUCNUUAUGUAAUAACUGACGUUGAGGGACGAAGGCUAGGUGUANCAAAAAGGAUUAGAUACCCAAGUAGUCUUAGCAGAAAAUUAUGAAUGUCAUAGGAUAGAAAAAGGGACAAAAUUUUUUUUUUCUAUAAAUGAAAGUGUAAGCAUUCCACCUCGAGAGUAAUUUGGCAACAUUGGAACUGAAAUCAUUAGACCGUUUCUGAAACAAGUAGNGAAGUAUGUUGUUUAAUUUGAUAGNCCGCAAAAAACCUUACCACAAUUUGAAUAGAAAAUUUUCUUUCAUACAANCGCUGCACGGUUGUCUUCAGUUAANGUCGUGAGAUCUUGGUUAGUUCCAUUAAAUUAACGUAAACCCUUAUUUUAUUUUUAUAUAGAGUAGUUCACCGCUAGAUUGGAUGUGAUAACAGGGACUAAGACAAGUCAUCAUGGCCUUAAUAUUGUGGGCUAUA
Molecule: ribosomal RNA, 634 nt
Filed under: Rinodina subpariata
Lineage: Eukaryota; Fungi; Ascomycota; Lecanoromycetes; Caliciales; Physciaceae
Description: SSU rRNA
Rfam family: Bacterial small subunit ribosomal RNA
Source: RNAcentral